RNAcentral lists this ribosomal RNA (1309 nucleotides) under Crematogaster teranishii. RNAcentral describes it as "16S ribosomal RNA". Lineage: Eukaryota; Metazoa; Arthropoda; Insecta; Hymenoptera; Formicidae. The record is from RNAcentral.
UAUAUUAAAUAAAGUUUUAUUAUAUAGUUAUGUUAGGUUAUUGGUAAUUAUCUAAUUAUAAAAAAUAAAAAGAAAAAGUAAUGUAAAUGAAUAAUUAUUAAAUAAAGUAAAGAAAAUUUUAUUUAUUGUACCUUUGGUAUCAGGGAUUUUUAAAAUUUAAAUUAAGAAUAAUAAUAUUCUCGAAUUUAAAGGAGUUAAUAAGUUAUGAUUGUUAAUGUGAAAUAAUUAUAAUGAAUAAUUUAUUAGGGAAGAUAUUUUAGUCAAUUUUAAAGAUAUCUAGUUUUUUUUUAGUAAAUUUAAUUUUGUUCUAUGAAAAAUAAUAUUAAUUAAAUAAAUAGUAAUUAAUAUUAAGGGUAGAAAGUAAUUUUUAUGGGAUAAACUAUAAAAAUUUUAAAAUAUGUUAAAAUAGAUGAAAAAUUUAAAAUUAGUAUUUAUAAGAUUUGAAUUCUAUGUAAAAAAUUUAAUAAUUUAUUUAUUUAAAGUAUUUUAAUAAUUUAUAAAUUAUAUUUUAUUUAUAUUUAUAUAGUAAGAAAAAAUAUUAAAUUUAAUUAUAAAAUUUAAGUAAUAAUGAUAAUAUAAGUAAAAUAAAUUAUUUAAUAAAUAAGUUAUAUAUUAGUAAGUUAAUGUAAGGAAUUAGGCAAAUUAAGAGUCCACCUGUUUAAUAAAAACAUGGUUUUUUGAUUAUAAUUUAAGAUCGUGUCUGCUCAAUGAUGUAAAAUUAAAUAGCUGCAGUAUAUUGACUGUACAAAGGUAGCAUAAUAAAUUGUUUUUUAAAUGGAAACUAGAAUGAAAGAUUUGAUGAGACUAAGGCUGUCUCACAUUAAAAGUUUCGAAAUUAUUAAUUAAGUAAAAAUUCUUAAAUAAUAAUAUGGGACGAGAAGACCCUAUAGAAUUUUAUAUAUAUAUAUAAGUAAGGAAUUUUUUAAUAUUUAGAAAAUUAUAUAUAUAUAUUUAGUUGGGAGGAUUGAUAAAUUUAAAUAACUUUAUUUAAAGAAAAAAUAUUAAUGAAUAAGUUAAAGAAUGGUUUGUAAAUUAAAAAAGAAUUAAUUACCUUAGGGAUAACAGCGUAAUAUUUUUAGAAAGAUCAUAUUUAUAAAAAUGAUUGCGACCUCGAUGUUGAAUUAAGAUAAAAAUUAAAUGAAGGAGUUUAAUAUUUAAGUCUGUUCGACUUUUAAAAUCUUACAUGAUUUGAGUUUAGAUCGGUGUGAGCCAGAUCGGUUUCUAUCUAUAUUAAAUUUAAAAAUAUUUGUACGAAAGGACUUUAUUUUUAAAAAUUUUUUUAUAUAAAUACAUAAUUUUUAAUAUUAUA